CCUACGGGAGGCAGCAGUGAGGAAUAUUGGUCAAUGGGCGGAAGCCUGAACCAGCCAAGUCGCGUGAGGGAAUAAGGCCCUACGGGUCGUAAACCUCUUUUGCCGGGGAGCAAGGGCGGGGACGUGUCCCGGCCCGGAGAGUACCCGGAGAAAAAGCAUCGGCUAACUCCGUGCCAGCAGCCGCGGUAAUACGGAGGAUGCGAUCGUUUUCCGGAUUUAUUGGGUUUAAAGGGUUCGUAGGCGGGCUUUUAAGUCAGCGGUAAAAAUUCGGGGCUCACCCCCGGCCGGCCGUUGAAACUGGGGGACUUGAGUGGGCGAGAGGGAGGCGGAAUGCGUGGUGUAGCGGUGAAAUGCGUAGAUAUCACGAAGAACCC
RNAcentral lists this ribosomal RNA (374 nucleotides) under uncultured bacterium. Its description in RNAcentral is "partial 16S ribosomal RNA". It matches the Rfam family "Bacterial small subunit ribosomal RNA", at positions 338 to 709 of the family's 1533-position model. The record is from RNAcentral.